CUGCUGGAGGUGGCAAUGAAUGCAGAAACCUGUAACUGGCUGAAGUAUCAGGAAUACACGGUGGUAAAAUGUUUGGCCCUAAAUGGGACAGUUCUACCACCCUCUCGAAGGCUCGGGGAACACUGAGGAAGAGGGGGCUGAAAAUACUUUGCAGCAUAGAAAACCCUGCCUUAUAUAUAAAGAUGCCCCAAGAAUUAGACCAUCUUUGAUCGGGCCAACACUCUGAACUCUUAGAGAACUGAGAUCCCAGCCCGAUGGAUACUUCUUGCUUCAAUUUUGGCCCUUGACAUAGCAGGUUGUGGACACUGGAAAUUCUCCAUAUGAGCCACAGCCACCCCUAUUUGGAUGACUUCUCCGGCAGUAUCCUCAAGGCUGCCUGGUACAAGAGGACAUGUAGGUUUGAUGGUCUAUGGUGGCCCAGGGUUGCAAGCAGCCAAUGGAACUGUUUCACCUGUCCUGGUGACCAGUCAGCUGUCUUCACUGGCCAUGGCUGGCUGAAGGAACUCACAAGAAGCCAAUAAAUACUUCACCAGGCCCCUGUUUGUUAACAGAAAACCAUGGAAAAGUGUUCCUGUUGCAUGCACAACAGGCAAAAUAGAGAAACAUAAUUGAUGUGAGAUGGAGAGUAGAAUAAAAAUUCUUACGCUU
Non-coding RNA from Peromyscus maniculatus bairdii (prairie deer mouse), 648 nucleotides. The record is from RefSeq and is a predicted model, not a curated record. Lineage: Eukaryota; Metazoa; Chordata; Mammalia; Rodentia; Cricetidae.